GGCUCCACCCAACAGGAAGUCAGCUAUUUAGAGUUAUGUAAAAAGCGCAUGCUCUGGAAUUUGAAAUACUUGUCAUAGGUUUUUUUCUCGAUUGCCGCCAAACUCGGUCAACAUGAUCUCAAGACACUGGGGAUGAAAAAUUGCCAGGGGAUUUUUGAUAUCUCGAACGGUUUGCUCGUGGCGAGGCGUUGAAAUUAUGGCGAGAAAUUAGAAACAGGAAGUGUCUAAUACCAUCCACAUACAUUUCCUGAUUUUAAUCAAACUUCAUCAGAUUAUUCGUUGUAUAAUGUCGAUCGCAUAUAUGUGACUAUUAGGAGUCAAAGUUAUAGCGCCACCAACUGGCAGAAGGAAGUGUGUCAUUUUCAAAAUGAUUUGAAUUCAGCAUCUUAUUAUUACUCGAUUUGCUUCAAACUUCAUCAGAAUAAUGUUAAAACACAGCUGAUAUAAAUCUGCAAGGGGGAUAUUGAUAUCUAAAAAAUUGUUGCCGUGGCAACAUGUCAAACUGGAAUACUUCUCAGGUGAUUUUGAGGCAUAUAACAUGCUUAGAAUUUCAUCAAACUCAGAACACAUAUCAGUAUUAGUGACAGCUAGACACUGGCAAAAGUUCAUAAGAGGGCGUGGAAGAGGCACUCUAUAGCGCCACCUUUUGUCAAAAGUGAGGGGGUUAGUUUUAGCUACAGACACCAAACUCAGUACAAAAAUUGUUCUUAUCAAGACGGACAACUUUCUAAUUCACAGUCAUCAGCUACGACCAACACGAAGUCGGCUAUUUUGAUUUGAAUGUGGAUUGUUUUUUACAUUUAGCUGUGAAUUAAUGCAUACUGCUCAGAGGAGAGUAACACUAUACACACCAAACUUGGUGUACAUGUUGAAAAAACAUUGAGGAACUUAAAUUGUGAAUGGGUUUUGGAUAGCUUGGAUGGUUUUGUCGUGGUGAUUUUUUUAAAUGACAAUAAAGAUGGAACUAUUAA
Molecule: long non-coding RNA, 971 nt
Organism: Carassius gibelio (silver crucian carp)
Lineage: Eukaryota; Metazoa; Chordata; Actinopteri; Cypriniformes; Cyprinidae
Exons: 2
Source: RefSeq, a predicted model, not a curated record